UACACAAAAUUGAAUACGUCUGGUAUCAAAAGAUCUUAAUACUUACGGUUCAAAACAUGUUCACUACCAACCAACCUAAUAGUUUGUACGUAUAGAAACAUAUUCAACCAUGCAGCUACACAAAUAGAUACAUUCUUAAUACUGCCCAUGGUAAAUGCGCUAGAGUAACGAGUGGAUGAAAUGUAAUUUGCUUUUUUCAUAAUUUUAGAAAAGGUGGGAUUCAAUUAAGGGGAAUAUCGAUUAUUUUUUCAAUAUUUAUUCCUCUACGUAUACCCUUAAUUUGCGUAUCUAUAGGAUGCAGUCGAGAUCAUCAACUUAUGCGUUAGUUAAUCCCUCGCUCUGCCACCUAAUAUCUAUAUUAAAAUUUGUAUAAAUAUAAUAAAAUUUUCCAUUCAAAGAAUUUUCUAAAAUAUAUGUACGCGUAUACAAUAAUUUAUUAUGUUAGUGUUAAAUACUUGUAGAGCCACAGGAUGAUGGUGACAGCAGUCGCACCGGCGCCACCGGCGGCUGCUAAACCCGUAGUCAGUAAACCAGUGGUAAUACCAGCUGGUACGAGAAUCGGACUGAAUACUACGAAUAGUGGCAUGGUAGCGAUAAAUGCGGCGGCUGUGCCGGCGAGGGAUACACCGGAGAUCAACAAGAGGAAUGUUGCGGCUUGUGUAGCUAAUAUUGAGGUUAAAACACUCUUAAACGACGGCUUUCGCUCGUGUUUUUUCUUCCUGAGUAUCCCCAUUGUUUACUAGUUUGAAUGGCUAGAAGAGAGGGGUAUGAUUCUUUGGUCCGAUGGUCGUGGGAAUUUAUGAAGAAGAGAUGGAUUCAUGCACAUAUAUUAAGUGGUGUGGUCUACGUGUACGGUACGUGUUUAUAAAUACCCAUGCGAGUGAAUGUUGAGCUCUAUACGUUACGUCAAUGCCUUUUCCUUUCGUCUGUUUUUUUGUUGUUGGGUUGUCACAUGUUUUGCCUCUUUUUAGCUUGCUUGUAAAAUAGGAGUGGACAUUUUGGUUUAAUUCACGUAAACCAAAUGAUAUCUGGAUCGUUUAUGUUUGAUUUAGUUUUAGAAGCACCUGAAUUUUAAGCGAACUUAUAUAUAAUUCUUAAUGAUCUAGUUAGAAAUUGCUUCUGUUAUAUUUGGUUUAGUUUUGACCUUUGAUAGAGUUUAAUUUGGUUGUCUCGUGUUAUGGUUAUUUAUGAACCAAAAGUUGAUCUGUUGGUUUUAUUAGGACUUGCUUACGGCUAAUCCCACGGCUGUGACGCCAAGGAUUAUUCCGGAGAAUUUCAAUAGAACUAUGCAGCCACUGCAGUGAAAACCGCCUGAAAAAUCUCAAAAUAGAUAUUAAUUAAAAUUGAAUUGGAAGACCAUGUCAGUGCAUUUGAAUAAUGAUUCCGGAGGGAUGUGCAUGUUAUUAUGAAGCACAUUAUUUCUUUGCUUCCAUAGAUGGAAAAGUGUGACUGGAGCGGAGAGACAACGAAGCUUUGGGCACAAGAGAAAGAACAAUGGCCACAGAGAAAGAAUAAUCUUGUUUGAUAGCGUGGUUGUGUAAUUUUAUGAAAAGAGAGUGGACAUGCAUAGCCAGUGCCAAAUGAAAUUCAUUUCAUUCAUUCAUGUACAAAUUUGUUAUGAAAUAUUUUUUUAUAUAUUUUAUCUAAUUAUUUUUUAAAUUGGUGAAAUGAUCAUUCAAUUUUAUUCAUAGUAAAUGGUAAAAAAAAUUGUGGAGUUAAUAGAAUCAACUAUUCCACAUCUUUCUAUUCCAAAAAAUUGUAAUCCAGUUGCACCAUGAAUGUUUAGAUCAACGUAACUUGGCCACAAUACAGCUCAAAAAGAAAUGAACUUGGCCACAACUUUUUUUUUUUUUGAAAAGGGCAUUACUUGACCAUAAUUAUUAUGGCCCCAUUUUACAUGUAACUUACAAUGGUUCCUUGAGGCCUAUAGAUUGUCUCGUUUGACAACGUUGGUGAACAAGAACUUGAAUAACAUUUUAGUUGAACUUGAAUAAAAUUAACGUCAACGACACUUCGCUUCGUUCUUAAAAUGUUAUACAAUAAAAAUGCUUACAUUUGUUACUAUUUUGUUCCACGAUAUCCAUUAGUAUAGUGAUAUUUGAAAAUUUAACUUCCAUCCCCACGUAAAUAUUAUUAUUUAUUUUUUAAAGUUGGAUUAUUUAUCUAUCAUCCUUUGCUUAUUACCCACCGCUUUCAUGUACUCGGUGCAGCUGCUGGUGCGGCUGAUGGUGCUGCCGCUGGUGCGGCCGCUGGGUCGGCUUCUGGUUUUGCUGCCAGUUUAGCUGCAGCACCUCCACCAGGAAACACCUUUUUCAAGACUUUUGACAUGAUUUUUGGCGGCUCCUUCCCCGUUACUCGCCUACACAGAAUUGAACACGUCUAUAUGUCAAAAGUCGUGGUAUCAAUUCUUAAUAGUUACGGCUCAAAACAUGUUCACUACCAACCAACGUAAUAAUUUGUACGUAUACAAACGUUUUCAACCAUGCAUCUAAACAAAUAGAUAUAUAUUCUUAAUAUUCCCAAUGGUAAAUGCGCUAGAGUAACGAAUGGAUGAAAUGUAAUUUGCUUUUUUUCAUAAACUUUUAGAAAAGGUGGUAUUCAAGGGAAAUAUCGAUCUUUAUUCAAUAUUUGUUCUAGAAACAACCGCACCCGUAAUUACGAAAACACAUUAAGUAUGUAUUAUAAAUGCAUACCUUUUUGUAGUUAUCACUUUUUAAUAAAUUUAAAUCAAUAAUAAUUCAAUAAGCUCAAUUAUUUUUUUCCUAAAAAAUACAAUGUACUAUUAUUCAAUAAUGAUAAACUUAUAAAACAUAAAAUUUAUCUUUGUGAAAUAUUUUUUAAAUUUUUUUUAUCUUUUUGAAUGGAAGGAGUAAAUAACAAAGUGUAGUAAAAUUCAUCAACUUAUGCGUUAAUUAUAAUCCGUCAGUCUCCCACCCAAUAUAUGACUUAAAAUUUGUAAAAAUAAAUUUUCCAUAAUCAUAUAUUUUGUUAGUGUACUUGAAGACCCAAAGGAUGAGGGAGACAGCCAUUGCACCGGAGCUACCGGCGGCUGCUAAACCCGUGGCCAGUAAACCAGUGGCAACACCCGCUGGUACGAGAAUCGGACUGAAUACUACGAAUAGUGGCAUGCUAGCGAUAAAUGCGACGGCUGUGCCAGCGAGGGAAACACCGGCGAGCAAUAAGAGAAAUAUUGCGGCUUGUGUAGCUAAUAUUGAGGUUAAAACACUCUUAAACGACGGCCUUCUGGAUUUUUUAUUGUGUUUCUUUCUGAGUACCCCCAUUUUUCACUAGUUUGAAUGGUCAAAAGAGAUGGGUAUGAUUCUUUGGUCCGAUCGUUGUGA
Molecule: long non-coding RNA, 3341 nt
Filed under: Brassica napus (rape)
Lineage: Eukaryota; Viridiplantae; Streptophyta; Magnoliopsida; Brassicales; Brassicaceae
Description: long non-coding RNA (BNAP_LNC010516)
Source: RNAcentral